GGUGGCUUAGUGGUAGAGUGCUUGCCUUGCAUGCAUGGGACCCUGGGUUCAAUUCCUCAGCACCA
Molecule: transfer RNA, 65 nt
Filed under: Dipodomys ordii (Ord's kangaroo rat)
Lineage: Eukaryota; Metazoa; Chordata; Mammalia; Rodentia; Heteromyidae
Rfam family: tRNA
About the family: Transfer RNA (tRNA) molecules are approximately 80 nucleotides in length. Their secondary structure includes four short double-helical elements and three loops (D, anti-codon, and T loops).
Source: Rfam by way of RNAcentral